AUUGAACGCUGGCGGCAGGCCUAACACAUGCAAGUCGAGCGGAUGAAGGGAGCUUGCGCCUGGAUUCAGCGUCGGACGGGGGAGUAAUGCCUAUGAAUCUGCCUGGUAGUGGGGGAUAACGUCCGGAAACGGGCGCUAAUACCGCAGACGUCCUGAGGGAGAAAGUGGGGGAUCUUCGGACCGCACGCUAUCAGAUGAGCCUAGGUCGGAUUAGCUAGUUGGUGGGGUAAAGGCCUACCAAGGCGACGAUCCGUAAGUGGUCUGAGAGGAUGAUCAGUCACACUGGAACUGAGACACGGUCCAGACUCCUACGGGAGGCAGCAGUGGGGAAUAUUGGACAAUGGGCGAAAGCAUGAUACAGCCAUGCCGCGUGUGUGAAGAAGGUCUUCGGAUUGUAAAGCACUUUAAGUUGGGAGGAAGGGCAGUAAGUUAAUACCUUGCUGUUUUGACGUUACCAACAGAAUAAGCACCGGCUAACUUCGUG
Molecule: ribosomal RNA, 484 nt
Filed under: uncultured bacterium
Lineage: Bacteria
Description: partial 16S ribosomal RNA
Rfam family: Bacterial small subunit ribosomal RNA
Source: RNAcentral